UACAGAGGGUGCAAGCGUUGUUCGGAAUUACUGGGCAUAAAGCGCGUGUAGGCUGCAAUCUAAGUCGGAUGUGAAAUCCCUCGGCUCAACCGAGGAAGUGCAUCCGAUACUGGGUCGCUUGAGUGUCGGAGGGGGUGGCGGAAUUCCCGGUGUAGAGGUGAAAUUCGUAGAUAUCGGGAGGAACACCUGUGGCGAAGGCGGCCACCUGGACGACAACUGACGCUGAGACGCGAAAGCGUGGGUAGCAAACAGG
Molecule: ribosomal RNA, 253 nt
Filed under: uncultured bacterium
Lineage: Bacteria
Description: partial 16S ribosomal RNA
Rfam family: Bacterial small subunit ribosomal RNA
Source: RNAcentral